ACUUUCCUAACGAGUGCCAAAUAGGACGAAACCCGGGUCGGCGGAU
Molecule: non-coding RNA, 46 nt
Filed under: Schistosoma mattheei
Lineage: Eukaryota; Metazoa; Platyhelminthes; Trematoda; Strigeidida; Schistosomatidae
Source: RNAcentral